CGACGAGUUUGAUCCUGGCUCAGAUUGAACGCUGGCGGAAUGCUUUACACAUGCAAGUCGAACGGUAGAGGGGGCAACCCCUCGAGAGUGGCGAACGGGUGAGUAAUAUAUCGGAACGUGCCCAGUCGUGGGGGAUAACGUAGCGAAAGUUACGCUAAUACCGCAUACGAUCUAAGGAUGUAAAGCGGGGGAUCGCAAGACCUCGCGCGACUGGAGCGGCCGAUAUCAGAUUA
RNAcentral lists this ribosomal RNA (233 nucleotides) under uncultured Comamonadaceae bacterium. RNAcentral's name for it is "partial 16S ribosomal RNA". It matches the Rfam family "Bacterial small subunit ribosomal RNA", at positions 1 to 243 of the family's 1533-position model. Lineage: Bacteria; Pseudomonadati; Pseudomonadota; Betaproteobacteria; Burkholderiales; Comamonadaceae. The record is from RNAcentral.